This 107-nucleotide small nucleolar RNA is filed under the name Brassica napus (rape). RNAcentral describes it as "Plant small nucleolar RNA R71". It matches the Rfam family "Plant small nucleolar RNA R71". From Rfam's summary of the family: R71 is a member of the C/D box family of snoRNAs containing the C (UGAUGA) and D (CUGA) box motifs. Multiple nearly identical copies of this snoRNA have been identified in Arabidopsis, and it is thought to function as a 2'-O-ribose methylation guide for 18S ribosomal RNA. The record is from Rfam by way of RNAcentral. Lineage: Eukaryota; Viridiplantae; Streptophyta; Magnoliopsida; Brassicales; Brassicaceae. RNAcentral also lists the same sequence under 1 other name.
AAUCCAUGGUGAGGGCAUUCUCUGCAAUAGUCAUUAUAACGCUCCCAUGCGUCGGAAAAAAGCUCAUUAGUGAGCUGUCUGAAAGAGGUGAUCUUGUUCCUCAAUGC